AUUGAACGCUGGCGGCAUGCCUUACACAUGCAAGUCGAACGGCAGCACGGGGGCAACCCUGGUGGCGAGUGGCGAACGGGUGAGUAAUAUAUCGGAACGUACCCGGAAAUGGGGGAUAACGUAGCGAAAGUUACGCUAAUACCGCAUAUGCCCUAAGGGGGGAAAGCGGGGGGAUUCGCAAGAACCUCGCGUUUUCGGAGCGGCCGAUAUCGGAUUAGCUAGUAGGUGAGGUAAAGGCUCACCUAGGCGACGAUCCGUAGCUGGUCUGAGAGGACGACCAGCCACACUGGAACUGAGACACGGUCCAGACUCCUACGGGAGGCAGCAGUGGGGAAUUUUGGACAAUGGGCGCAAGCCUGAUCCAGCCAUGCCGCGUGAGUGAAGAAGGCCUCGGUUGU
RNAcentral lists this ribosomal RNA (398 nucleotides) under uncultured bacterium. RNAcentral describes it as "bacterial SSU rRNA". It matches the Rfam family "Bacterial small subunit ribosomal RNA", at positions 30 to 426 of the family's 1533-position model. The record is from RNAcentral.